Molecule: ribosomal RNA, 398 nt
Filed under: uncultured bacterium
Lineage: Bacteria
Description: partial 16S ribosomal RNA
Rfam family: Bacterial small subunit ribosomal RNA
Source: RNAcentral
AUACGUAGGGUGCGAGCGUUGUCCGGAAUUACUGGGCGUAAAGAGCUCGUAGGUGGUUUGUCGCGUCGUCUGUGAAAUUCCGGGGCUUAACUCCGGGCGUGCAGGCGAUACGGGCAUAACUUGAGUACUGUAGGGGAGACUGGAAUUCCUGGUGUAGCGGUGAAAUGCGCAGAUAUCAGGAGGAACACCGGUGGCGAAGGCAGGUCUCUGGGCAGUAACUGACGCUGAGGAGCGAAAGCAUGGGUAGCGAACAGGAUUAGAUACCCUGGUAGUCCAUGCCGUAAACGGUGGGCGCUAGGUGUAGGGGUCUUCCACGACUUCUGUGCCGUAGCUAACGCAUUAAGCGCCCCGCCUGGGGAGUACGGCCGCAAGGCUAAAACUCAAAGGAAUUGACGGGG